RNAcentral lists this long non-coding RNA (3128 nucleotides) under Papio anubis (olive baboon). RNAcentral describes it as "lncRNA (ENSPANG00000050029.1)". The record is from RNAcentral. Lineage: Eukaryota; Metazoa; Chordata; Mammalia; Primates; Cercopithecidae.
UAUUUUAGUAUUUUAUUUUUAAAACAUCUAGUAGUAAGAUGUCUUCACUAAUUGAAAACCCAUCACAAUCUAAUCGCAUGUUUCUUUCUGUCUGAAGGUCACUGCACAAAUACGGAUGAAGCAUCUCCCAGGUGACGGGCGUAGUUCUGGGCGCUCAUACCUCAGUGAAUACACACGGACUCCUGUCGGCCUCAUUUGAGCAGUGGGGAGUGACAUGAUCAACAACAUACUUAAUAAGCUUUGCUUAAACACAUCAGAUGCUCAUAUUGAAUGGGAUUUAGAAGCAUGUCUUUUUAGAGGCACCCUGAGCCCUGCUCCGGGACUGAUUCUGGAUGCUGUCUGGGAUGACUUGGAUGAUACUGAUCUCCAUGAGGGCAGAGUGGGCUCUGCACUUGCUGGAUUUGCUCUAGUCUGGCUGGAGCAGACUCACUGGUAACCAACCUCUUAGAGUCAGCAAGGCCAGAUGGCGACUGGGGACAAGGGCAGUGAACAGAAAUGCUCUGUCUCCAGCAUGGCAUGAGACAAAUGUGAAGGAGGGAUUACCUGAGGGAGAUAUGAAACAAAAAGCCAACACCUGAUGGGCAGUGUCCCUCCCACCUCACUCCCUUGGAGUCUUAGAUGAAUCUUAACCUGUCCUGAAGAAGGAUGACACAGCAGCCAGAGUUUGAUCUGUGGAAGGAAUCGCUUUGUGCAUUUGAUGUUGAAAUACAUGCAGAUCCCCCAGGCCCUGGCUCCUGCUGGGGUCUUCCACGCCAGCUCAGGAGGGCCUCUACCUACAGGGAUUAGCCCCUGGGAAGGACUGCUCUCCCUGGCACCAUGAGGAUGGGGCUCUUGCCUCAGGUGGAGUAAUUCAGAGCUUGGCCACCAAGGUUUUGUCGUGAGCCCUUUGUGCUGGGCAGCACAGCUGAUUCCUUGUCUUGGAUUAUUCACAACCAGCUGCAGCCCCCCAGACUCCAGUGUGGUGAACACAGAGGAGAGGGCAGUUUUACACACAGCGUUGCCAAUGUACGUGCCUACCCCCAGUUCCUUAAAAACCAGGAGCUCUUGUCCUUGUCAAGUUCCAAUUACUGGGGUCCUUAACGUGACCACAGGUGGAAAAAUAGACCCUUGUAGCUUGGCUCCCUGCUGUGUUUAACUUGAAAGAUAUGCUUUAAAAAAAUCCCUGUGGAGAGUGAAAACUCCAUAGAGCCAGUCGGCGCCCUCCAUACAUUAGAAUAAUCAUCCUCGGUCCAAAUGCGUAGGGAAUUCUUUAUAAACAUCACAGUGAUGCUUGAAACAGGAAAUGCAAGUAGUUUGCAGCGAAGACACUCAAAAUGCAGUUUGACAGCAAUGGCACCCUUUCCCUUCUGAUAUUCAACUCCAAGUUUAAUUACUGCUCAGGGAGAUAUGGCUGAAGAGUUGCUAGCAUGUCGAAUUUUUCUAUUUCCAUUUCUUUCGCUGCUUUGACUUACAGAGUCAGUACCACUCUUUGAUCCAGGCAAGGGGGAUCCUGCCUCUGUCCUGCCCCUGGUGGCUGGAACCUUAAUGUUCUCUGGCCGUAGCUCCCUGAGCCUGGUCCUAGUGUCCCUGUCCUCAUCUCUCUCUUCUGGGAUAGUCUCCAAUCCACUCUCUGCAGGUGGGGUCGAACAGAUGGCCUGGAGCUAGGGGCCUUGCCUAGCAAGGCCAUCCCAUAGGGGUCACCUGGGACGCAGACCACUGUCACUGCCUGGGACAUGACUUCCUUUAUGGGAUCAUAUGAACUUGGGCAGCCAGAAUGAUGCUGAUGGACUAAUAUUGAGUAACUUAUGUUGUUUCUACAGAUAAGGGCCCUACCAAAAAAAUGGCUGCUCCCUGUUCCCUGCAGAGGGUGUGCAUGGAGUAAAAUUUCCACAAAUUCUAACGUCCUGAUAAUUUGGCCAGGAGACAGUUUGACAUUUAUCUUUAGACUAUUAAGUGUGAAAGUGGUCUGUUAGGUAAAUGAUAAGCAAACAAUGGAAAGGGGAAAAGGUUGAUGUGUUUAAGAGAAAAAAGUUACUUUGAGAAUCUUUAACGUUUCUGUCCAUCAGUGAUUGAUCUAAAUUUUAAUGAGUUCUCGUCAAUUAAUUACAGGCUCACACCUGUAAUCCCAGCACUUUGGGGGGCUGAGGCAGGCAGAUUACCUGAGGUCAGGAGUUCAAGACCAGCCUGGUCGACACGGUGAAACCCUGUCUCUACUAAAAAUGCAAAAAUUAGCCCAGCAUGGUGGCGGGCGCCUGUAAUCCCAGCUACUCGGGAGGCUGAGGCAGGAGAAUCACCUGAACCUGGAGGCGGAGGUUGCAGUGAGCCGAGAUUGCACCAUUGCACUCCAGCCCAGGCGACAAGAGCAAAACUCUGUCUCAAAGAAAAGAAAAAAAAGAAUAUAUGCUAUAACGACCUCUGGGCCGGGCGCGGUGGCUCAAGCCUGUAAUCUCAGCACUUUGGGAGGCCGAGACGGGUGGAUCACGAGGUCAGGAGAUCGAGACCAUCCUGGCUAACCCGGUGAAACCCCAUCUCUACUAAAAAAUACAAAAAACUAGCCGGGCGUGGUGGCGGGCGCCUGUAGUCCCAGCUACUCGGGAGGCUGAGGCAGGAGAAUGGCAUGAACCUGGGAGGUGGAGCUUGCAGUGAGCUGAGAUCCGGCCACUGCACUCCAGCUUGGGCGACAGAGCGAGACUCUGUCUCAAAAAAAAAACAAAAAAAAAACAAAAAAAAAACCAAGGACCUCUGUACUUAAUUGUAUAUACUUAAAAACUUUACAUUUAUCUUCAAAAUAAUCUCUUCAGACUUUCAGACCUUUGCACUGCUAUUUGCAAGCAAUGUUCAUGAAAUUAUGUGGGAUAUUUAGUGAUCCUCUCUCUUCAUUUAUGAUGGAUCUCCAGAUAGUUAUUGAUGUUUUAAAAAUACACACCUGUUUAAUUUUGUUCCUCCCUUUUUACUUUCCCCAACCCUCACAAAAAGACAGCAUUUGGAAAAUUUAGCAGACACUAGGCUGGGAUCGGGGGGGCAAAUUCAACAUCUGACUCUGGAGCAAGCCUUUUCCCUUCUCUGUUCUUCCGGGUCCUCGUUUGUGUAACACAUGCUCUUAGACUGGGUCCAUGGUUUUUGAAAAUAUUUCGGUCAUAGAAUCCGUU